UGAGGAAUAUUGCUCAAUGGGCGAAAGCCUGAAGCAGCAACGCCGCGUGUGGGAUGAAGGCCCUCUGGGUUGUAAACCACUGUAGAAAGGGACAAAGGUCAUGCUCCGCAUGACUGGAUGGUACCUUUAAAGUAAGCCUCGGCUAACUACGUGCCAGCAGCCGCGGUAAUACGUAGGAGGCAAGCGUUGUCCGGAAUCACUGGGUGUAAAGGGUGCGCAGGCGGGAAGGUAAGUCAAUGGUGAAAUCUCACAGCUUAACUGUGAAACUGCCAUUGAUACUGCUUUUCUUGAGUUUGGGAGAGGGUGGUGGAAUUCUUGGUGUAGCGGUGAAAUGCGUAGAUAUCAAGAAGAACACCAGUGGCGAAGGCGGCCACCUGGCCCAUAACUGACGCUCAUGCACGAAAGCGUGGGGAUCAAACAGGAUUAGAUACCCCCGUAGUCC
This 442-nucleotide ribosomal RNA is filed under the name uncultured bacterium. RNAcentral describes it as "bacterial SSU rRNA". It matches the Rfam family "Bacterial small subunit ribosomal RNA", at positions 355 to 796 of the family's 1533-position model. The record is from RNAcentral.